AUCGUUGAAUUCACUUAUGAUAACAACAGGAUUAAAAAAUAAUUGUUAUUUACUUACAAAAGAAUAAACCGUCUCAUUGUCAGAAAGCAAUCUAAGGCAGAUAUAAAUUUCAAGCUGCACUAUGUAGUACGUAUGUAUUUUUAUAUUCUGCACUGUGAUGUGUAAAAUUAUUUGUUGCAGAGCUUAUUACUCCUAUAUAUAUCACUACUUGAGCGGAAGGAUUUUAUUACGCAACCAUAUCAAAUUGAUAAAUCCGAAGGACAGAGACCUGAUUUUGUAAAAGACAACAAAAAUUCAAAAAGCCCAGCCGAAAAAAAUAGUGAAAUGACAAUCGUGAUCAUGCGAAUCUACACAAUUCCAUUUUGCAUGAUCGCAUUUUGCUCACACCACGCGCAUGAAUAGAUGCGAAUUGAUCGAGUGGCUGCCUACGUGAUUUGUUCGUAUGAAACAAAUAAUAUAUAUUGCCUCUUUGCUGGUAAUGAAUGUUUGUCUUCCGACAAGGAUACAUUAUAAAUAAAUGUGAUGAAGCUAAAGGCGAUAGCUUGACAAGCGACAAUCGAGAAUCGGCGCGAGACCAUUUUGUUGCUACGCCACUCAUCUUUACUAGUAUCCGUGCCUUAACCAAUGUGCUUGGUGUUUGGAGACGAGUUCCCUCAUAAUUCAGCAUUUUAUAAAAAAAUUUGUAGAUGUUAUAAACGUUCUUCUCGAGAAAAUUUGUUCUUUAAGAUAGGACAUCUA
Molecule: long non-coding RNA, 738 nt
Organism: Solenopsis invicta (red fire ant)
Lineage: Eukaryota; Metazoa; Arthropoda; Insecta; Hymenoptera; Formicidae
Exons: 3
Source: RefSeq, a predicted model, not a curated record